GGAUGCCACUAGGGGAGCGCUUGCUGAGACGGAGUGCGGCUCCGGACCCUUAGCACCUGAUCUGGGUAAUACCAGCGUAGGAAAGUGGCUCGCUGCGCGG
RNAcentral lists this non-coding RNA (100 nucleotides) under Alicyclobacillus hesperidum. RNAcentral describes it as "TPP sequence". It matches the Rfam family "TPP riboswitch aptamer (THI element)". Rfam says of the family: Vitamin B(1) in its active form thiamin pyrophosphate (TPP) is an essential coenzyme that is synthesised by coupling of pyrimidine and thiazole moieties in bacteria. The previously detected thiamin-regulatory element, thi box was extended, resulting in a new, highly conserved RNA secondary structure, the THI element, which is widely distributed in eubacteria and also occurs in some archaea. Lineage: Bacteria; Bacillati; Bacillota; Bacilli; Caryophanales; Alicyclobacillaceae. The record is from Rfam by way of RNAcentral.